RNAcentral lists this transfer RNA (82 nucleotides) under Schizophyllum commune H4-8. Its description in RNAcentral is "tRNA-Glu". It matches the Rfam family "tRNA". From Rfam's summary of the family: Transfer RNA (tRNA) molecules are approximately 80 nucleotides in length. The record is from RNAcentral. Lineage: Eukaryota; Fungi; Basidiomycota; Agaricomycetes; Agaricales; Schizophyllaceae.
UCGGAUAUGGUGUAACGGCCAACAUUGCCGCCUCUCAGACAAGGGUGCGCGGCAGCUCGGGGUUCGAUUCCCCGUAUCCGAA